Molecule: ribosomal RNA, 252 nt
Filed under: uncultured bacterium
Lineage: Bacteria
Description: partial 16S ribosomal RNA
Rfam family: Bacterial small subunit ribosomal RNA
Source: RNAcentral
UACGGAGGAUGCGAGCGUUAUCCGGAUUUAUUGGGUUUAAAGGGUGCGUAGGCGGGCUUUUAAGUCAGCGGUAAAAAUUCGGGGCUCAACCCCGUCCGGCCGUUGAAACUGGGGGCCUUGAGUGGGCGAGAAGAAGGCGGAUUGCGUGGUGUAGCGGUGAAAUGCAUAGAUAUCACGCAGAACCCCGAUUGCGAAGGCAGCCUUCCGGCGCCCUACUGACGCUGAGGCACGAAAGUGCGGGGAUCGAACAGG